RNAcentral lists this long non-coding RNA (2179 nucleotides) under Pan troglodytes (chimpanzee). RNAcentral's name for it is "lncRNA (ENSPTRG00000054240.1)". The record is from RNAcentral. Lineage: Eukaryota; Metazoa; Chordata; Mammalia; Primates; Hominidae.
AGGGCAUCCUCUUCCCUUGACUACAGUGAUUGGCUCAGGGUUGCACAGGGGACUCGAACUGGUGCAGAUGGAGUCAACCCCAGGACAUUGGCGUGAGUGUUGGGAAAGAUGUGUCCUCCUUCUGCUUGGGUGACCGCAAUGGGAGGCCUUCCCUGCCACCUCCAGGAAAAUGUGAGGCCGGAGUGAAGCUCACAGAGAGGCAAGAAAGGUCUGGGAAGAAGAGACCUGACCUGGCCUUGGGGUGCAGAAGUGGUGGCCACUGGUGGACACAGAGCUGCUCACUGCAAAUCCUGUCAUUUGAUUCAUCUUCCUGAGAAGACUACGACCUUGUGCAGGAUGCUGUGUUAAAGUCAUUCCUCACCUCCUGCAUUUCCACCUCUGCCUCUGUGGGUCGCGAGCCACUUCACUUCCAUUUUCCUGUCUGCAAAAUAGGUUGAAGUCUGCCAAGCAGGCUGGGAAAAGCAUCAUGGUGUCUCAGGAUGGGGCCCCCUGUCCCCAGUGCUCCAGAAGAAGUCAAUGUUAUUAUUCUGGGGCAGUCAUAUCCUGAUCAUUAAUUUAUGACAAUGUUAGAAACAACAACAAUUAUAAUAAUGACUGGUUUUUAUGGAGUCGUUCUUACUACUCUAGCAGGAAUAAUCAAUUUAUUAUGUCAUUAAACAUCCUAAUAGCUAUUUGAGGCAGAUUCUAUUACCAGCAUUUUUUAUCUUAAAAAUGAAGUAACAGACACAGAGAAGUGGAAUAACUUUCCCCAUGUCCUCCAGUUAGAAACUAAUCCAGGAGUCUGUCUUCCACACUGACUCCUUCUGCGCCAGGCUGUGCUUCCACCGAUGUGUCCUCAGUGCCAGGUGGGCAUGGCCCAUGGCUAGACUUGAAGGAUACAGCCAUGGUCCCUGACCUCAUGGAGGACGCAGUUUUUAACAUCCAGGCUUUAACACUCCGCAGACCACUUGAUUAGCACAUAGCACCCAUAUUGAGAUGAUCCGUUGACAGGCUUGUCUCCCUGGACCGGGCACCCCUCAAGGGAGAGGACCCUGCUUCAUCACCCCCGUAUAGCCCACUGUCUGGCAAGAAUAUUAAUGUUUCAUCUUUCCUGGGACUUUAUUCUGGAGUUAUAUUUUGCUGUGCUUGGUUCUGUUUGAUUGUUCCAACAUCAGGACCGUAUCGAUUUGCUUAUAGUGGCUCUGAAAUCACUUAAGACCAGUGGUCCCACCCCUAGUUGAUUCCAUCUUGUUUUUUUUUGGGCUGUUCUUUUUUUUUUGAGAUGGAGUUUCUGCUCUUGUUGCCCGUGCUGGAGUGCUUGGCAACUCGGCUCACUGUAACCUCUGCCUCCUGGGUUCAAGCGAUUCUCCCGCCUCAGCCUCCUGAGUAGCUGGGAUUACAGGUGUAUGCCACCACACCUCACUAAUUUUUGUAUUUUUAGUAGAGACGGGGUUUCGACAUGUUGGCCAAGCUGGUCUCGAACUCCUGACCUCAGGUGAUCUGCCCACCUCCACCUCCCAAAGUGCUGGGAUUACAGGCGUGAGCCACCGCACCUGGUCUCCUUGGCUGUUCUUAAACAUGGGCUCUUGCGUAAGAAUUUGAAGAUAAUUUUAACCUGGAGUCGGUCUGUGUAAAUUUAAACCCUGCCUCUACCUCUCACAACGUGGGCCAGUCACUCACUCCCUUGUGUCUCAGUUUCCUCAUCUGUAAGUGGUGGGUGGGAACAAUGACAGGUGAAUGGAGCUUCAAAGAAGUUGAGUGAUGUCAGGUGUGCUAAGGCAGUUGCAACAGUGCCCAGAGUGUGGUAAUCGCUCAAUCAAUGGUAGCUUUUCUUUUCUUUUCUUUUCUUUUUGAGAUGAAAUCUCACUCUGUCACCCAGGCUGGAGUGCAGUGGCAUGAUUUCAGCUCACUGCAACUUCUGCCUCCAGGGUUCAAGCGAUGUUCCUGACUCAGCCUCCUAAGUAGCUGGGACUACAGGCACAUGCCACCAUGCCAGGCUAAUUUUUGUAUUUUUAGUAGAGACAGGGUUUCACUAUGUUGGCCAGGCUGGUCUUGAACUCCUGACCUCCAGUGAUCCACCCACCUUGGCCUCCCAAAGUGCUGGGAUUACAGGCAUGAGCCACUGUGCCCGGCCUCAAUAAAUGGUAGCUAUUUAAUUAUCAUUAUUAUUGAAAUUUAUGUGAAAUAGGAAGUCUUCAGU